CCUACGGGAAGCAGCAGUAGGGAAUAUUGCUCAAUGGGGGAAACCCUGACGCAGCAACGCCGCGUGGAGGAUGAAGGUUUUCGGAUUGUAAACUCCUUUUGUUAGAGAAGAUAAUGACGGUAUCUAACGAAUAAGCACCGGCUAACUCCGUGCCAGCAGCCGCGGUAAUACGGAGGGUGCAAGCGUUACUCGGAAUCACUGGGCGUAAAGCGCGCGUAGGCGGGAUAGCAAGUCAGCUGUGAAAUCCUAUGGCUUAACCAUAGAACUGCAUUUGAAACUGUUAUUCUAGAGUAUGGGAGAGGUAGGUGGAAUUCUUGGUGUAGGGGUAAAAUCCGUAGAGAUCAAGAGGAAUACUCAUUGCGAAGGCGACCUGCUAGAACAUAACUGACGCUGAUGCGCGAAAGCGUGGGGAGCAAACAGGAUUAGAUACCCCUGUAGUC
This 440-nucleotide ribosomal RNA is filed under the name uncultured bacterium. RNAcentral's name for it is "partial 16S ribosomal RNA". It matches the Rfam family "Bacterial small subunit ribosomal RNA", at positions 338 to 795 of the family's 1533-position model. The record is from RNAcentral.